UUAAGCUCAGAGUUCUUCAGCUGUGACAUAACUCAACUGUGUGCAAAUCCCCCUGAGCCCAGCUCAGGUUCAACUCCGUGGAGCUUGGUGGGUAAGAGGAACUGAUGCACUGCCUGCUCUGUGAUGCAUAAUAGAGUAAUAAACUCCUUUUUCUCUAACCCAGGAGCUUCAUGUCUCCUGUCAUCAUCUAGGAAAGUGGUAUCUUGCAAUCGGUAAAAUCUCAGACCCAGCACAGUUCUUGAAAUGUAAAAUGACUCUUCUUUUACUUUCAUUUCUUGGGAAGCAUGUUUUUAUUAUCUGUCACUACCACACAUUCUUACAGAACUUUCUGAGAGUUCCUCCAGUAAUAGAAGGGCUUAUGAAUGCUCAUGGAAGUGGAUAAAAAUGUAUCGAGAAAUUUAUUUCAAUGAGCUAGUCUGAAAGAGCUAUUUGCCAAAUGGCUUUCUUUCCAAUACUUAAUGAAAAGAUGCAUUUUGUACUACUUUCAAAAAGUGAUAUGGACAGGAGACGGAAAUACUGGGUAGAAAAGGGCAGUUCCCUGGCAAAGCCUCACCCUCAAGCCUGGAUACCUGCUGUCUUAAACGAAAACGAAAACAGGCAUUUCUGUGUUCAUGCUCCAAAAGUUAUCUUUUGGCCUGCCACACCCCCUAUCCUGCACCCAUAUGAAUCCCGAACCCCAGACUCCAGAAGCAGACCAGCAAGCCCGCAGACCAGCAGAAGGAUGGCAGAACGAUGUGGCAGAGAAAGGGAGAAGAGGAGGAACAUCUGAAUGCCAAAAUGAGUUCAGCUGGGGGCAGUCAGAGAGGAGUCCAGCCACUGGGCAGCCAGAAUCCAGGGGAGGAUCACCUUUCCACUUCAUCCCCUUCCUCUGCCUCCCCAUCCAUCCUGCUGAAAGCCACCUCCACCACUCAAUAAAACCUGCCAUUCAUCCUUGGAGUCCAUGUGUGACCUGAUUUUUCCAAGACACUGGACAAGAGCUCAGAUACAGAAAGCUAUCACCUUGGCCCUCUGCCCUUGUGAAAAGGCAGAGAGUUCAUUGAGCUGAUUAACACUCAAGCCAUCUGCAGACGGCAAAGCUGAAAGAGCAUUGUGGCUCACUCCUGCAAUCCCAGGACUUUGGGAGGCCAAGGCGGGUGGAUCACAAGGUCAGGAGUUCGAGACCAGCCUGGCCAACAUGGUGAAACCCCGUCUCUACUAAAAAUACAGAAAUUAGCUGGGCAUGGUGGUGUGCAAUCCCAGCUACUCGGGAGGCUGGCACAGGAGAAUUGCUUGAACCAGGGAGGCAGAAGUUGCAGUGGGCCGAGAUCACGCCACUGCACUCCAGCCUGGGUGACAGAGUGAGACACC
Molecule: long non-coding RNA, 1347 nt
Filed under: Homo sapiens (human)
Lineage: Eukaryota; Metazoa; Chordata; Mammalia; Primates; Hominidae
Description: HSALNT0203221
Source: RNAcentral